UACGUAGGGGGCAAGCGUUGUCCGGAAUCAUCGGGCGUAAAGCGCGUGUAGGCGGCCCGGUAAGUCCGCUGUGAAAGUCCAGGGCUCAACCCUGGGAUGCCGGUGGAUACUGUCGGGCUCGAGUCCGGAAGAGGCGAGUGGAAUUCCUGGUGUAGCGGUGAAAUGCGCAGAUAUCAGGAGGAACACCAAUGGCGAAGGCAGCUCGCUGGGACGUGACUGACGCUGAGACGCGAAAGCGUGGGGAGCAAACAGG
Molecule: ribosomal RNA, 253 nt
Filed under: uncultured bacterium
Lineage: Bacteria
Description: partial 16S ribosomal RNA
Rfam family: Bacterial small subunit ribosomal RNA
Source: RNAcentral